CUAAAGGGCUUGUGUCAUGUGUGGCACAUUGUGGUCUCCUUUUAAGGGGCUGUGGUGCAGAAUCUACAUCAAGUGAUUUCAGAAGUAUUAUUUUAGUUAGGGGGGCUGCCUGUGAUCAUCACACCUGGCACAA
Bombina bombina (fire-bellied toad) is the source of this 133-nucleotide small nuclear RNA. RefSeq annotates it as U11 spliceosomal RNA. The record is from RefSeq and is a predicted model, not a curated record. Lineage: Eukaryota; Metazoa; Chordata; Amphibia; Anura; Bombinatoridae. The transcript has a single exon.